This 465-nucleotide ribosomal RNA is filed under the name Vreelandella stevensii. Its description in RNAcentral is "partial 16S ribosomal RNA". It matches the Rfam family "Bacterial small subunit ribosomal RNA", at positions 338 to 795 of the family's 1533-position model. Lineage: Bacteria; Pseudomonadati; Pseudomonadota; Gammaproteobacteria; Oceanospirillales; Halomonadaceae. The record is from RNAcentral.
CCUACGGGUGGCAGCAGUGGGGAAUAUUGGACAAUGGGGGCAACCCUGAUCCAGCCAUGCCGCGUGUGUGAAGAAGGCCCUCGGGUUGUAAAGCACUUUCAGUGAGGAAGAACGCCUGGUGGUUAAUACCCAUCAGGAAAGACAUCACUCACAGAAGAAGAACCGGCUAACUCCGUGCCAGCAGCCGCGGUAAUACGGAGGGUGCGAGCGUUAAUCGGAAUUACUGGGCGUAAAGCGCGCGUAGGUGGCUUGAUAAGCCGGUUGUGAAAGCCCCGGGCUCAACCUGGGAACGGCAUCCGGAACUGUCAAGCUAGAGUGCAGGAGAGGAAGGUAGAAUUCCCGGUGUAGCGGUGAAAUGCGUAGAGAUCGGGAGGAAUACCAGUGGCGAAGGCGGCCUUCUGGACUGACACUGACACUGAGGUGCGAAAGCGUGGGUAGCAAACAGGAUUAGAUACCCUAGUAGUC